Molecule: long non-coding RNA, 218 nt
Filed under: Elaeis guineensis (African oil palm)
Lineage: Eukaryota; Viridiplantae; Streptophyta; Magnoliopsida; Arecales; Arecaceae
Description: long non-coding RNA (EGUI_LNC012175)
Source: RNAcentral
GUAGUAUUAUUCUAUUGAUCACCUAGGCUUCUCCAUUAGAUUGAGGAUGUCCAAUCGAUGUAAGUUUGUGAAUGAUUUGAUACUUUGUCCAGAAUUCUUCAAACUUUGUAUCAUUGAAUUAUCGACCAUUAUCUAUGAUGAUGACUUGGGAUAGACCAAAUCGGCAAAUAACAGAUUUUCAUAAAAAAUCUGUCAUCUUUCUCUCUGUUAUCAAUACC